Tigriopus californicus is the source of this 1085-nucleotide long non-coding RNA. RefSeq lists it as uncharacterized. NCBI's taxonomy places the organism in Eukaryota, Metazoa, Arthropoda, Copepoda, Harpacticoida, Harpacticidae. The record is from RefSeq and is a predicted model, not a curated record. The transcript has 2 exons.
CUUCCUAUUUGUACGAACUUGUACCCGGCACUAUCAACAUGACCCUGGAGUUCAUGAGCCUCUUCUGUUUGUCUUGGGCUCAAGCUGAGUGCAAUCAAUAAGCAUCUACGAAGAAAACAAUCCGACGGUCUUAAAGACGUUAUCAUUUUUCUCCCCAACUUCAAAAUCGCUGUCUUCGCCAUGAACGUGAAGAAACGAGAUCAAUCUCUAGGGCAGAUAUCUACAGUAUAGUUACUCCACUCCCCAUGUUCGGGGAGUAAAGUGAUGCCACCGCAAGCGUGAUAUGUCUUGGUGGGAAAGAAAUGGAAGUCUCUUGCUUAAUGAUGAUCUUUUGUCACCUCGAAGUCCUGAUAGUUUUGGGGCGGGUAACAUGGCAUCCAGGGCACGACCAAUGUCGACGAUUCGGCUUCAUGUGUGAUCCAACCCCAAAGCAAACACUUAAGCGACGACAACGAGUCCUUGGCCAAGGCAAAAUAUGAUGGAUGCGGUGUAGCACGUUUGGUUUUCUCUUUCACGGGAAAUCAUGCCAGAUUAUCAAUCGACGCCAUUUUUCGUUAGCGCAAAAUCUUCAUUCGCACUAAGCUAGCCGGAACAAAGGAGGGGAAAAGUCGACUAGCAAGCAGACACGAGUACUGCCAUCGAGUGGGGGUGAUAAUAGCCAAUAACGCGAUCGGAAAGACACGUGUGAGUGGACUACUAUUCUGGAGGAAAACUUGUUCAAAGUGAUUAAAAUUGGCAUGAGCAUCCAUGCAAGGCAAAAUGACGACUGUCUUUAUUAGUUUCCUCAUCAUCACCGUCAUCUCAUGUGGAAAGGAACUUCAGCUGUUCUACUUUAGAUUUAAAGAGGCGCAGCACAUGAUUCGAUUUCCUUCAUCACCAACUCCAUACGUAGACACACGUACUGAUGGGAUAAUUCGGACUUCAAGUGUGACCAAAUGGCAUGAGUCCGGCUCAAGCACGCAAUCCACAAUUUCUUUCCAAGAACUGAUUCACUUUUUUUUCCAACAUCAAGCCAAGAAUUGGCAGAACUUUGGCUUCACGAGCGUCAUUUCGUGCACAUGAAUGUCGUAUUAAACAUAAGAGAU